GAGAGAGAGAUGAGUAAAAUUAGGGGGAAUUCUAGGGAUUUAGCUUGCAAAUGGUAACAUUUGCCAGCGAUGUCAGAAUCUU
Molecule: small RNA, 82 nt
Filed under: Salix viminalis (osier)
Lineage: Eukaryota; Viridiplantae; Streptophyta; Magnoliopsida; Malpighiales; Salicaceae
Source: RNAcentral